RNAcentral lists this ribosomal RNA (2791 nucleotides) under human gut metagenome. RNAcentral's name for it is "bacterial LSU rRNA". It matches the Rfam family "Bacterial large subunit ribosomal RNA". The record is from RNAcentral.
AGCGUACACGGUGGAUGCCCUGGCAGUCAGAGGCGAUGAAGGACGUGCUAAUCUGCGAUAAGCGUCGGUAAGGUGAUAUGAACCGUUAUAACCGGCGAUUUCCGAAUGGGGAAACCCAGUGUGUUUCGACACACUAUCAUUAACUGAAUCCAUAGGUUAAUGAGGCGAACCGGGGGAACUGAAACAUCUAAGUACCCCGAGGAAAAGAAAUCAACCGAGAUUCCCCCAGUAGCGGCGAGCGAACGGGGAGCAGCCCAGAGCCUGAAUCAGUGUGUGUGUUAGUGGAAGCGUCUGGAAAGGCGCGCGAUACAGGGUGACAGCCCCGUACACAAAAAUGCACAUGCUGUGAGCUCGAUGAGUAGGGCGGGACACGUGGUAUCCUGUCUGAAUAUGGGGGGACCAUCCUCCAAGGCUAAAUACUCCUGACUGACCGAUAGUGAACCAGUACCGUGAGGGAAAGGCGAAAAGAACCCCGGCGAGGGGAGUGAAAAAGAACCUGAAACCGUGUACGUACAAGCAGUGGGAGCACAGAGCAAUCUGUGUGACUGCGUACCUUUUGUAUAAUGGGUCAGCGACUUAUAUUCUGUAGCAAGGUUAACCGAAUAGGGGAGCCGAAGGGAAACCGAGUCUUAACUGGGCGUUAAGUUGCAGGGUAUAGACCCGAAACCCGGUGAUCUAGCCAUGGGCAGGUUGAAGGUUGGGUAACACUAACUGGAGGACCGAACCGACUAAUGUUGAAAAAUUAGCGGAUGACUUGUGGCUGGGGGUGAAAGGCCAAUCAAACCGGGAGAUAGCUGGUUCUCCCCGAAAGCUAUUUAGGUAGCGCCUCGUGAAUUCAUCUCCGGGGGUAGAGCACUGUUUCGGCAAGGGGGUCAUCCCGACUUACCAACCCGAUGCAAACUGCGAAUACCGGAGAAUGUUAUCACGGGAGACACACGGCGGGUGCUAACGUCCGUCGUGAAGAGGGAAACAACCCAGACCGCCAGCUAAGGUCCCAAAGUCAUGGUUAAGUGGGAAACGAUGUGGGAAGGCCCAGACAGCCAGGAUGUUGGCUUAGAAGCAGCCAUCAUUUAAAGAAAGCGUAAUAGCUCACUGGUCGAGUCGGCCUGCGCGGAAGAUGUAACGGGGCUAAACCAUGCACCGAAGCUGCGGCAGCGACGCUUAUGCGUUGUUGGGUAGGGGAGCGUUCUGUAAGCCUGCGAAGGUGUGCUGUGAGGCAUGCUGGAGGUAUCAGAAGUGCGAAUGCUGACAUAAGUAACGAUAAAGCGGGUGAAAAGCCCGCUCGCCGGAAGACCAAGGGUUCCUGUCCAACGUUAAUCGGGGCAGGGUGAGUCGACCCCUAAGGCGAGGCCGAAAGGCGUAGUCGAUGGGAAACAGGUUAAUAUUCCUGUACUUGGUGUUACUGCGAAGGGGGGACGGAGAAGGCUAUGUUGGCCGGGCGACGGUUGUCCCGGUUUAAGCGUGUAGGCUGGUUUUCCAGGCAAAUCCGGAAAAUCAAGGCUGAGGCGUGAUGACGAGGCACUACGGUGCUGAAGCAACAAAUGCCCUGCUUCCAGGAAAAGCCUCUAAGCAUCAGGUAACAUCAAAUCGUACCCCAAACCGACACAGGUGGUCAGGUAGAGAAUACCAAGGCGCUUGAGAGAACUCGGGUGAAGGAACUAGGCAAAAUGGUGCCGUAACUUCGGGAGAAGGCACGCUGAUAUGUAGGUGAGGUCCCUCGCGGAUGGAGCUGAAAUCAGUCGAAGAUACCAGCUGGCUGCAACUGUUUAUUAAAAACACAGCACUGUGCAAACACGAAAGUGGACGUAUACGGUGUGACGCCUGCCCGGUGCCGGAAGGUUAAUUGAUGGGGUUAGCGGUAACGCGAAGCUCUUGAUCGAAGCCCCGGUAAACGGCGGCCGUAACUAUAACGGUCCUAAGGUAGCGAAAUUCCUUGUCGGGUAAGUUCCGACCUGCACGAAUGGCGUAAUGAUGGCCAGGCUGUCUCCACCCGAGACUCAGUGAAAUUGAACUCGCUGUGAAGAUGCAGUGUACCCGCGGCAAGACGGAAAGACCCCGUGAACCUUUACUAUAGCUUGACACUGAACAUUGAGCCUUGAUGUGUAGGAUAGGUGGGAGGCUUUGAAGUGUGGACGCCAGUCUGCAUGGAGCCGACCUUGAAAUACCACCCUUUAAUGUUUGAUGUUCUAACGUUGACCCGUAAUCCGGGUUGCGGACAGUGUCUGGUGGGUAGUUUGACUGGGGCGGUCUCCUCCUAAAGAGUAACGGAGGAGCACGAAGGUUGGCUAAUCCUGGUCGGACAUCAGGAGGUUAGUGCAAUGGCAUAAGCCAGCUUGACUGCGAGCGUGACGGCGCGAGCAGGUGCGAAAGCAGGUCAUAGUGAUCCGGUGGUUCUGAAUGGAAGGGCCAUCGCUCAACGGAUAAAAGGUACUCCGGGGAUAACAGGCUGAUACCGCCCAAGAGUUCAUAUCGACGGCGGUGUUUGGCACCUCGAUGUCGGCUCAUCACAUCCUGGGGCUGAAGUAGGUCCCAAGGGUAUGGCUGUUCGCCAUUUAAAGUGGUACGCGAGCUGGGUUUAGAACGUCGUGAGACAGUUCGGUCCCUAUCUGCCGUGGGCGCUGGAGAACUGAGGGGGGCUGCUCCUAGUACGAGAGGACCGGAGUGGACGCAUCACUGGUGUUCGGGUUGUCAUGCCAAUGGCACUGCCCGGUAGCUAAAUGCGGAAGAGAUAAGUGCUGAAAGCAUCUAAGCACGAAACUUGCCCCGAGAUGAGUUCUCCCUGACUCCUUGA